UCUGGGUGUGGUGGUGUGUGCCUGUAGUCCCAGCUACUCAGGAGGCUGAGGUGGGAGGAUCGCUUAAGCCCAGGAGUUCUGGGCUAUAGUGCGCUAUGCCGAUCGGGAUGCACUAAGUUCGGCAUCAAUAUGGUGACUUCCUGGGAGCGGGGGACCACCAGGUUGCCUAAGGAGGAGUGAAACGGAGCAAGUCAAAACUCCCAUGUUGAUCAGUAGUGGGAUCGUGCCUGUGAAUAUAGCCACUGCACUCCAGCCUGGGCAACAUUGUAAGACCCCGUCUCU
This 282-nucleotide signal recognition particle RNA is filed under the name Saimiri boliviensis boliviensis (Bolivian squirrel monkey). Its description in RNAcentral is "Metazoan signal recognition particle RNA (ENSSBOG00000014138.1)". It matches the Rfam family "Metazoan signal recognition particle RNA". From Rfam's summary of the family: The signal recognition particle (SRP) is a universally conserved ribonucleoprotein. Lineage: Eukaryota; Metazoa; Chordata; Mammalia; Primates; Cebidae. The record is from RNAcentral.